AGGCAUUUUGGGAGCUUACUGGUUUCGGAUUCCAUCGGAACUCUGAAGUUAAGCGAGUAGCGCGCGAGGUCAAUCCCAUGAUGGGUGACCCACUAGGAAGUUCUCAUGUGAGUUCCCAGAAACAAAACAAUGAGGGCAUGAUCGGGGCCCAAAGCGGACAGUAUCGUGCUACUGUGGUGGAGCGGGCCUGUGAUGUGGUGGACCCCGGGCCAGGAUGUAACAAUUUGGUAUCAGAGUCAAUCCUUGGUUGGAUGUGUGCCGACGAGGACGUCGGGCCCCUAAGGGGGUGGAUUGUGACAUCCCACAUCGCCCAAGGGAAUGAAUCAUCUAAGCCUUAUAUGUAUAUUCAUCCCUACCUAUCACGAGGCCUUUUGGGAGUUCACUGGCUUCGGGUUCCAUCGGAACUCCGAAGUUAAACGAGUAGCGCGCGAGAGCAAUUCCAUGAUGGGUGACCUACUGGGAAGUUCUCAUGUGAGUUUCC
This 481-nucleotide small RNA is filed under the name Malus domestica (apple). Lineage: Eukaryota; Viridiplantae; Streptophyta; Magnoliopsida; Rosales; Rosaceae. The record is from RNAcentral.